GAUGCAACGCGAAAAACCUUACCUACCCUUGACAUGCCAGGAACUUACCAGAGAUGGUUUGGUGCUCGAAAGAGAGCCUGGACACAGGUGCUGCAUGGCUGUCGUCAGCUCGUGUCGUGAGAUGUUGGGUUAAGUCCCGCAACGAGCGCAACCCUUGUCGUUAAUUGCCAUCAUUAAGUUGGGCACUUUAGCGACACUGCCGGUGACAAACCGGAGGAAGGUGGGGAUGACGUCAAGUCCUCAUGGCCCUUAUGGGUAGGGCUUCACACGUCAUACAAUGGUCGGUACAGAGGGUUGCCAAGCCGCGAGGUGGAGCCAAUCCCAGAAAGCCGAUCGUAGUCCGGAUUGGAGUCUGCAACUCGACUCCAU
RNAcentral lists this ribosomal RNA (369 nucleotides) under unidentified activated sludge bacterium AI356. Its description in RNAcentral is "bacterial SSU rRNA". It matches the Rfam family "Bacterial small subunit ribosomal RNA", at positions 953 to 1321 of the family's 1533-position model. The record is from RNAcentral.